AAGUAAAUAUGAUCAAUAGGUAGGUCGACUGCAUUAAAAUCAUUAUGGGAUAAAUAGUGCAUUAAUGUCAGCAUCAAAAUUCACCUCUGCCGUGUUGUCAGAAGUUCCCCUAACCGAUUUUAAUAACGAUUCCCAUCGAUUUCUCCAACGCUGUUUUCUUUUAUUCUGGCAAUCAAGGAAGUCGGUAUCUCUAAGGCGCAGGUAAGAUGCAUCUAUGUAAGAAUCUUCUGUGCGUGGUAAGUAGAGCAAUUUAAACGAGUCUAAACAUAAUUUUGCUUGCAAUCCGGAAACCAAUUCUGCAGAUCUUAAUAACUUUGUUUGAAGGCGUGAAACCAAUUGCUCAACUGUUCUUUCUUUCUCUAUAUUUCUGCAAAGAAAGGGACAACGAUAAUUUUUAUAAGAUAUUUCUUCAGUAAGUUUUUGUAUACGAUAAUUUUGAACAUAUUUUUUCCAAACUCGUCUCUGUGUAUCCAAACUUUGAUCCACAAUAAGAUUCGCUCGCUUCAUUAUUUUGAUUCCAAAUGAUUUAAAUUUGUUUAUCCAACAAAAUCGAAACAAAAUUUCAUCAGGAUUCAAAAGCUUUUCAAUUUCCAAGCGAUAAAGAAAGUCAUCAUAAUUCUUCUUAGGCGAAGCAGAACUAUUUUGUUCGACUAAACUAGUAACGAAUUUGUAUUUUCCAUCGGAAACGAUGUGGUGGACUUGUUUAGCAGCAGACCAAACGAGUUUAUCAAUAGUAUAUAUUUUAUAGGCUUUAUUGCCAUAAUAAAACCGCAGAUAGUCCUCGAAGGCACUUUGAUCAACUAUCCCAUAUAUUAAUCGAAGAAUCAUCACAUAAGUAUUUUCGUAAUGAGUUUUUUCAUCAGGGACAUCUGAAAGAUCAUUCCACCUAUCGCGCCAAAUCUUUUGUUUUUGAGAUACUGGGUUUGGUAUUAUACGCUGUUGGAUAAUGGACACUUGAUCCUCCAAACGCUGAAGCUCAUAAAGCCUUUCGUAUAAUAAGUUAAAAAGUCUAAAAAAUACGUACAUAGAAGAAUAUCCAAACUGUUCUUUAUCGACGUCGUCAUGCAUUUCAUUCUCCGUAUCACCAGCAUGAUCUUGAUGUUCCAAAAGACUAUCUGGAUGACUUGGAUAUUUGAGACUGGCUUUAAUGGCUGCAGCAGGUUGUGAAAGCUGUUUCUUAGAAACCGGCGUUACGUUUCCAGAUUCAUCACUUAAAGAGUUUUGAGAGUUAGAUUGUGAUUUGUUACCGGAUUCUUCUUUUUUGCGAGCAGCUGCAGCUGAACGACUUUCGCGUUGACCAUUGAUUUUAGGUUGUUUUACAAAUUCCGUCAACUGGGUUAUAGAAUUAGAUCUUUUCCGACGUACAGGCUUGUUACCAACUAUAUUCGGGGCAUUCACAUCGUAAUCAGGACCACGAAAAACUUGAUCCAGGAAUAUCGAAAAUUUAUCCUUUUCAAGACCAAAAUGUAAAGGCAAUAUAUUCUUGAAAAAAUGCUCAACUUUCUUUAAACCAGAGGGAGAGUUACAUACAAUGUAUGUGCAUACCAUAUAACAAGUAUCAAAAAGUACUAUUUCGUUGUCAUAUACAAAAGAAAAUUCGAAAGCUGAUCUACUUCGCAAAGGAAAAUGGAGCUUCGCUUGCGAUCGUAGAAUGUCGGCUUCUGCUAAGAGAAACUUUGAAGAUACAUUCUUCUUAUCUCUUGCCUUAAAAUAAACGCAUUGUGAAUCUAAGCUCUUAUCGUAAUUUUUAAACUCAAUACUUCGCCAUCCAGGUUGAAGACUUCUUUUAACAGACUUCCACUCUUCGUUUUUUUCUUCUAAUCUGCUGAUUACCAAUGGUAAUGUGAGGCAAGGCAUUCUUUCCAAGGCCUUAAACAUUUCCUCUGCAUGCUCACUGGUAUAAACAAGCUUAAUAGUUUUCUUGUAUAUACUUUUUGAUGGUAAACCUAGCCCUUCCUCGAGAGUAUAUGUUUCUCUUUCCUCUUCCGGCAAUUCAUUUAUACGGUUCUGAAUUUUUUUAAGAGACUUGAUUGUCCAGGAAGUAGCUUCAAUAUGCCGAUCAAAUUCAUAACGUUCCUCUUCCAACUUUGUCAUUGCCUCUUCAUAAGGCGUUUUCCUCUGAACAAUGAAACCGCUUUCUUCAGAUGCCCAAGUUGGAUGACUGACCCAGUCAUCAUUAAGUAUACCCCAUGCAAAAUCAUCUCUACCGCUGCAAGAAAUAUUGCGUUCUUCGACAGGAAGCAAUCGGUAACUCGGGCCACAUUCCGGGAAGUCUGAGCAAGCGGAAUUGUAUACAGAUAAAAACUCUUCCGGACUCAAACUAGUAAGGCUUAAAAAGCUUCUCCAAAGUCCCGAAUUCGAUUUAAGAAACCCAAACCCACGACUCACCAGAAUAUUUCUAUCAAUUAUCCCUUGAACGUACAAAUUCAGGAGUUUUAAAAAUUCGUGGUAAGUUUCUACAUCGGUAAGUACAUUUUUCACAUUUUUGAAAAAGUCACUGCUCUCAUUUGAUAAAUGUGAAAAUGGUGAGAGGUUGUCCGGCCUUGAUUGACUAAGCAAAUCAGAAAUAUUACUCAACGUAAAUUGGGAACUCUGAAUUCCUCUUAAUGGAAACGAUCCUAGAGGAGGUUUACUCCCAAAAAAGAUGGAGCUUGGUAAAAAGUUGUGAAACUCGUGGGCUAAAGAUGGAUGCUCCGCUAGCAAAGACGUUACAAUAGUCUGAAGCUCAGAAAGCGAACACUCAGAGUUUUUAAACUUACGAAGACUAUCCUGUAAUUUAAAGAACUGUUCGGGAUUGCUCAAUAAUGCUCGUCGAACUCGUGAAACAAAUCCUAUAGCUCUAUGAUAGGUACAAGGUAAGUCGUUGUAAGUAGCUACAUAAGUAGACGGUGUAGAAACUGGACCAGAUGGGGUGGUAAAUUGCAAUGUGAAGUUGGCACCGCUAUUCGAUAAAAGGUAUUUAUAAGACGAGGGCAAAAAGAUGUUCAAAUAUUCUAAAAGAUCUGGGUAAUCUCUUAAGAUUACAGAUAUUCUUUCAAUAAACCCGGGAAAAUCGACACUAAUGUUCAUGUUAAUAAGUGAAUAGUAAUAAAAAAAGAGCUAUCUCAAAGCAACUCAGUAAAUAAGCCAUAUAUACAUUUCAUUGUGUAAAGCCUUCACAACAUCCAUGAAAGCGCUAUAAACAUAAGGACGAUGACACAGUCUUUGACCCAACUUUUGAACGAAUGCCUUUAUAUCAAGCUCGGGGAGUGCGGUACCAUUAGGGGAAAAAUCAUGGACUAAUUGAUUCUGCAUCUCGGCCACUAACGUUGAGUUGUCUAACAACAUUGGUUAAAAUGAGUUAUGUAUUAAAUUGAUACGUACCAUUUUUUAAUAUCGCUAGUGUUUGUUCCAUGUAUUUUGAUCUUUAACCAUCAAAUGACUAGGAAUACGAUCUCGUUUAUUUUGGAGGUGAUGAUUUGGGAAACGGCAAAUGCAACUAAGCGCACAAACUCGUCAACGCAUUACAUGAACUGACGCUGAUAGCCAAAGUUCAAAUGAUUUAUCAAGACAUGAACACAAAUACCACAUUGGAUGGUGUUUUACACUUACAACGAAUACUUUAGAAAAAAUACUAACGAGAAGAAUCAAACCCAAUAUAAUUGUUAAAAAAUAUUCCUUUUAAAUAAUUAAACACUACAUCUAAACAUUAUUUUCUAAGAAUAAUAGAGAUUUAAUAAAACCGAAACUAUGCAUCGUCUUCAUCAAGAAUAAGAAAUCGAAAACUAUCUACUUUCAAAGUUAAGUUGUCGACUACUUUACUUAAGUGCAUUCGCAAAACAAACAACCAAGAUGGUGAAAUAAAGUUUUUAAAUACGAACAGGAAUGGCAGAAGAAAUUACGCUUUAAAAAUGAAACAAAGUAAACAUUCAAUAUAAAAUUUUACCUCAAGAAUAAAUCAAAAGAUGUGACACAAUAGAUUAACCACGUUAAAUUUAUAAUGUUCGCAAACUAAGACGAGGAACCUUGGUCACAUAAAAGCGGAUGAUUGGCGAAUUCUGGUUGAAUGGUAACAUCAUAUAUACCAAAAGAUUGAAGGACAUUACGGAUAUCCGUAGUAAGCUUUGUAUAAGACUCUCCCUUAUCAUCAGGAAGUGUAACGCAGACAUGAACAGUGGCAAUUAAUUUAACGUCCGAAAGCUGCCAGAUGUGGAGUUCAUGAACAGAUUCCACGCCGUCUAGAUGAUUAAUUAGGUUGGAAACAUCAUCCAGUUUGAUGCUUUGAGGAGCAACUUGUAAUAAGAUGAGAGCAGCGGAUUUACAGAGAGGAAUUGCGCUAAAAAGAAUAAUGAAAGUAAGAAGGAUACUAAUGCAUGGGUCAAAGAGGAAACGCCAAGAAUAGUCAGUAUACUUGAUGAAUAAAGCAGCACUAAUAACACCAAUAUUACCGAGAGCAUCACCCAAGACAUGAAGAAAGACACCAUGCAUAUUCAAAUUUCGUUUCUUCGUUUGUUUUGGUGCAUCUUGUUCAAUACUGCCAUGGUUGUUGACUGGCUUUGAAGUACCAGCACCAUUAUGAUUACCAGUGUAACUCAAUAAAGGAGAAGAUUCGGUAGCAGAGUCUGCGACUUGAGUGUGUGUAUGGCUGACUUCUUGUUGACUGGUAUUACAACGAUGAACGAUAGUCGAAGGUAAAACGGAUUCAAUAUCAUCUUCUUCAGGAAAAUCGUAAUUUUGAGCGGUAUGGGUGUGAGGAUGAUCAUGACCAUGGUCAUGAAAUAAAAAGAUACCAACGAAAUUGCUUAGCAGACCUAAAGAACCAACAAAGAACAUAAGGGUGGGAUUGCUGACAGAAGGAGGCUCAAUGAAGCGCUCUAUGGCUUCCAUAAAAAUGAACAUGCAAAGGGCAAUGAGAAAUACACCGUUCGACAAAGCACCUAAAAUCUCUGCACGUUGCCAGCCAUAUGUGUAUUUUGGUUCGUGAGAUGUUGAAUGUGCUAGACGAGUAGCCCAGAGAGCGACCAGUAAACUGACAAUGUCAUUUAACAUAUGAAAUGAAUCAGCAAUUAGGGCAAGUGAAUCGAUCGCAUAACCAGUAAUAAUUUCGAUGAAGAAAAAAGUAACAUCAAUACCUAAUAAAAGGAUAAUCCGAGUUUGUCUUGCGAGGUCGAACAUAGUUUGAAAACGAAAAGUCACCAAUUUCAAAAAAAUGGUAAGGGUUGAAUUUCACAGGGAGAAAAAGGAAUAAGGUAAAUUUAGAAUGAAAGGUGGCUUUUUAAAAAUGAAUUUAAAUAA
Non-coding RNA from Schizosaccharomyces pombe (fission yeast), 5274 nucleotides. The record is from the annotation of a GenBank genome assembly. NCBI's taxonomy places the organism in Eukaryota, Fungi, Ascomycota, Schizosaccharomycetes, Schizosaccharomycetales, Schizosaccharomycetaceae.